This is a long non-coding RNA of Peromyscus eremicus (cactus mouse), 927 nucleotides long. RefSeq lists it as uncharacterized. The transcript is spliced from 3 exons. NCBI's taxonomy places the organism in Eukaryota, Metazoa, Chordata, Mammalia, Rodentia, Cricetidae. The record is from RefSeq and is a predicted model, not a curated record.
UAAUGCAUUUAUUUUGUUUUGACAAUAAAAUCUCUCUUAGUUUAAGCUCUCAAAAAAUAAAAAUCUGACAUGUUCUAGAACUGAUAAAAUACACCAUCCUUCUAGCGUAAGAUCCCAGAAACAUUACUGUUGUUUUGACACUGAGUCUCUAAAGCAAGGCUGGCCUCCAAUUCUUGAUCCUCCUUGUCUCAGCCUCCUAGAUGCUAAAAUGGAAGACAUAUGCCAGUAUCUGCUGCUGAUCUUUUACUCUUUUAAGAUUUAUUCUCUCUCUUUCCCUCUCUCUCCACUCUGUGUGUGUCUGUGUGUAUCUGUGUGGGGGUAUGUGCACAAGAGUGCCUGUGCCUGUAGAAGCCAGAGGUGCUGGACGCUUCUGGAGAUAGAAUUACAAACCUUCAUACGCCUUCAGAAAAAAUAAUGCAAAAUUUUCACUCAAAGAGUCUAUCACCAGCUAUUGUUAUAGCCUAAGGCUUGACAGAAUCAGCACACUGGAGCAGUGUCGGGGUCAGGAUAAGAUGAGUAGUCUUCAGGCCCUGUUGGACCCUUUCUAUUCUUCAGCUAGGAAAAUUCAAGAUGUCUUCUACCUUCUCCCGGAUCUCUGGAGAGACUGAGGCCCAGGACAAAGCCGUGAGCCAUGCUUUCUCUUCCAAGAGGGAGCUAGUGUCUGAAGACAGGGCAAGAAGAGCAAACAGGACUCUGGCACUCCUAUGCAGGCUAUGUCCAGCCCUUCCGUUUAUGUACCCCUCAACUCAUCAGAAGACAUUCUAGACAUUCUUUAAAAAGUGAGUCAUGGGCUGGAGAGAUGGCUCAGCGGUUAAGAGCACUGACUACUCUUCCAGAGGUCAUGAGUUCAAUUCCCAGCAACCACAUGGUGGCUUACAACCAUCUAUAAUGAGAUCUGGUGCCAUCUUCUGGCCUGCAAGAACAUAU